GAUGAAUUGAAUGAGAUGUUUCUUCUUUCUUGUGCUUCAGCAAGGGGUUUUGUAGUGCAACUGUAAGAAUGUGUUUGAUGUAUUCACCUCCUGCUAGUAGCGGUUUGAAGCCGCGAUAAUCGCGGUGGUUCUUCAGGUUUUGGUCCCUGUUCCUUCCGUAUCCUCGGCUCAGGCGCUCAGCAAUUGUCUAAAGAAGUUGAAAGAAUUGUCACUCCCGGAUUCGGCGUGUGUUCUUAUUUGUAAAUUUACAGCUAGUGCUCAUGUAGCGUGAAAAAAAACCAAAGAAAGGAAGAACUCGUAGCAAUGUGACAGUACUACAUUCUGAAAUACCUGAAUAAUUCAUAUGGUUGCACGCGGUUUGUGCAGCCAGAAAGGUGAAGGAACACAUUCAUUUUUCGGCAUUGCCACAGAGUUUCAGAAGUCAAGGAGAUGGCAAUGAUGCCGAUGAAAGCUGUGGCGCCAUUAGAACGGCCGAGAUGGGCGCCGGCAAAUGUAACCGGAAGCAACAACACCUGGAAGGAAGGGGUGGUGGCACCAUGAGAGCCCCCAUCGAUUCUCAUGCUUUCGUUCAGGCAUCCGAUUCGUCGUCGCGGUCGAGUGCGAUCCAGUACUCCAUGAUCAGCUAAAGACGGUGCUGGACCUUGGCCAUCAUCCAUGGAAGCUUCAAGUGAAGAGAGCAUGUGAUGGGCUGAUUGUAGUGGCCGACGCUGCUUUCUAGACUGUCUGUAAAUCGAUUGCAUUGUCAAUGAUGGUCAUAAGGUUGUUCAAGAGAAUGAAGCAGACACGGCGGCGUGGCGAUCUGGCAGUUAAGCGAUGACGUGGAAGCAUUUCAGCGGAUGAGAUCGAUGUCACAAGGAGCAGCAAUGAUCAAUGGACAUGGAUGAGUCAGCUGCGCGAGUAGAGGGGGGUGUCCAAGGACGCCAUGAAAGUGCUUCUUCUCCUCUCCUUUCCUAGUGACUUUUCAUGUUCUGAAUGGUUGCCCAUGCUCAUCAAAGGGAUGUUUGGUGUUUGCCGCCAACAAGCCAUGAGCCCAUGCCAAAAGCCGGCCAUGACCAAGUGGGCAUAUAGGCAUUCCAAAUUGUAAGAGAAGAAUGUUUGAAUUGUAGCCAUGCCAAAACCUGAUAAUUUCUGGUGGUGAUGUGUGAGAGGCUUCAUUUUUGGAUUUUUAUGUUUAUCAAUUUCGUACCAACGCGUGGAUACUAAUAAGCUUUUGUUUCGAGAUUCAUGAUCGUUGUAAAUGAUGUAAGCAUCGGAUGAUGCCAAGACCGAAACUAUUCUAUUUGUAAGAAAAUCUGUCAAAUUAUAGGUAUUGCUUUUUUUGUCGAUAUAUAAUCAAGUGAGAUUUUCACCAUCAGAGACACAUCCAUACCGGUUAUUGGACAACAAAAUCGACACAGAUGCUCGCGGUAUCCGUGCCAGGUGCGCAACCCAUCACAAAUCUUACUAUUACUAAUUGGAGGCUCCUUUUAAAGCCUCUAGGUGAAGGCACCUAGGAUUACUAGGUGGACACUCUAGAAAAAGAGAGAAAUCCUAGAAAUUCUCCCAAAAAAGCAAAACAUCCGACCAUCGAUCAUAGAUUCAAAUUAUCAUAGCCAUUGGAUCUAUUAUAUUUUCUAAAAAAUUACCCACCUAUGUCAUUAUGAAAAUAGCCUAAAGUAACCCCCUAAAUUUAUAUAUAAAUUACCCACCUCUGCCAUUAUAUAAAAUAAAUUAAAGUAACCCCCUAAUAUUCAUCAAAAUUACCCACUUAUGCCAUUAUAAACAAUAUUUAAAAUAACCCCCUAAUUUGCAACUGAAUUGCCUACCACUAUUACUUAAAAAACUUAAAGUAGCCCCUUAAAUUUGCAUCUAUAUUACCCGCACAUGCCAUUAUUAAAAAUAACAUGAGAUAAUUCUACGUUUGAAUCAAAUAACCUUAAUUAAAAAUAUACAAUAAUAUAUGAUUCUAAAUCGUCUAUAUCUUGCACUAUUGAUAUACGAUAUAAUAAUUAAGGUCUAUACGCAUGAUGUGUGUCACCAUUUAUAAGAUAUAAAGUGAUAAGAAUAUAGAUUUCUAUGUUAAAAUUGUAUCUCAAACUUAAGGUUCAUUAAACAAAUUCAAGCGCAUAUCUGCGAUGCAAAGUGAAAACUUAGAUUAUAAAUGUGGAUGAAAAUAUUAUAGAGUAAUUACUAACUAAAAUCUAUCACAAUUGGAUGAAGAUAUUAAAUAUAUAUCUACAUAAGCAUUGUCUGUUCAAAUAUUUAACAAACGAGAGCUAGCUUAUGAUAAUAGUUUUUUAGCAAUGUAGUCUUAUUUUUUUUUCCAUUGGAGGCUCCGCAUUAGUUCCCAUGAGACAAGCCAAAAAAAGGAGACAAAUUCUCAUAAAAAUUAAAAACGUCAAACACCAAUCCUGUAAACUCUAAUAAUCAAAGCCAUUGAUCUAUUAUAUUUUCUAAAAAGUUACCCACCACUAUUAUUGGGAAAAUAUUCAAAAAUGAGCUCUAAACCUAUAUUUCAAUUACCGAGCUUAGCUAUUAUAAAAAAUAAUCUAAAGUAACCCCAUAACCUUCAUCCAAUUUAGUAAUACACAUCAUUAUAAAGCAUAACUUAAAAUAUCAUUCUAAAAUUUUAUCUAUGUUAUCCACGUAUGUCGUUAUUAAAAAUAACCUAAAGUAAACACCUAAAUCUUAAUCUAAUUAUCUUCACGUGCAUCAUACAGAAAUGUCAAAAAGUAAAUUAAUAUAUGAUUUUAAAUUACCUAUUUAUGUCAUUGUUAAUAUAAAAAUACAAAGUUAAAGUAUAUACACAUGAUGAGUACCACCAUUUAGACUAUUUAUACAUGCAUGUGAGGAAUCGAUGAAAAAUAUUGAUUUGUAUGCUAAACAUAAUGUAUGGAGGAUUGGAGAUGUGAUACAAAAUGGAAAAAAUAUGAAUAUGGAUGAAAAAGUGCAUUGAGUAAUUAUUAAUUAAAAAUCAAUCACAAGGACAAAGAUAGGUACAUAUCUAUAUAAGUAUUAUGUUGAAGUAUUGAAUAAUAAGAGAGUAGUAGGUAAACAAUUUUGAUUAUUAGCUAGGAGCUUAAUUUCUAAAUAAUUUUUAAAUACAAUAGCUUCUAAAAACAUUAGCCCGUGUGGGAGCACGGGUUGAUGGACUAGUAGUAUAAAUAGAAAUUUAUAAAAAAAGAACUAUUUUUUUCUAGUAAUGAAGGCUACCCCCCAAAAAAAACACACAACCAUAUCCAAGUUAUUUGUUUAUUUGCUGAAUUUCCUGAUCUCAUCUUGGCAGGUUUAAGUUAUUUUUAUGUAGGUUUAGAAAUCGCUCGUGUAUUUGGAUAUGUGCUUUAAUGGAACCAAAGAUAUGAUCAUGUUUUGUUUAGUAAAUUGCCUAUUUAUGUUUAACAUUUUUUAUGAAAUUUAUACGGUUAUGAUUAUGUCAUGUCUCAUGCUGCCAUAUUUGGUGUUUAGUUUCAUGUAUCAAGGCAUACAAGGAGCUGAAAUACAUUCCAUGUCAAUAUCAAUUCUCAAUUUGCGCACAUAAAAGUUUUAUAAUUUCUAAAUAGCUAUAUGUUGUUUUCUAGAAAAAAAAGUAUAUUACAGCACUAGUGUACAUAUCGUGGUGGCGCAACCUCCAUGCUUUGGCUAUAGCUUUGCCCUAAUUAUCCAUGCAUGCUUUUGUUGAGAGCCGGUACGGAUAAUCCUCAACGUGUACCGGCUCUUUAUGUCUGGGGCGAUAAGCCGAUACAUGUUGGUUUUUCUACAUUAUUCGAGGAGGGGGUAUAAAUGUAUAAAUAUGCCAUUACUCUGAUAUGUAGAUUUUUUUUAUUUUUUUUUUGAAAAGGGGAGAGCUUAUAUUAAAUAACAAACCACGUUUACAAUCAAAUUUCAAAGCUGCUGACGCGCAGGUUGGAACACCUUUAGAAACAAAACCAGAUGUGAGCUCUCUCCUACCAAACUGUCCUAGUUCAUGAGCCAUUCCAUUUGCACUUCGAUCACACUUUAAAACUUUGAGACACUGGAACAUUCUUAGCAUUUUUUUUUCUUCUUUGAUGAUGUUGUACUAUCAUUGAGCGCUUGUACCGCUUGUACCGUGUCGAGGCAAUCUGACUCCGGCCAAAUAGCUAGGUCCCGUGAAAACCGAGCGGGCUCUGUCGUAUGCCUAUUAAGGCUGGAAGACAUUCAUCUUCUUCAACUGAAGAGCAUAAGCGGUCAUUGGACCAACCUGAAAAGACAACUUCACUCAAGUGAUUCCUAGCUAGCAAUAAAGCCUAGCCUAGUGUGUUGUGUGUUAGAAUCAAAGCUAGCAUCCAUAUGGAGUUUUAUCCACUCCGAGGUAGGGGGCGUCCAUGCAUGGCACUUUUUUGGAUCAAGCUAUGGCCAUCCGGAUAGAUUAGAUUUUGUCUCGGAGUGAUGGAUUUUUGCCAUUUAAUGAAGUUGAUGGAGCAGCCACACUUGGCUUCAGGGAAAGAAAGUAGUUUUUGAAAAAAAAAUACUGAUCCAGAGAUGGGGCAGUCACCUUUCCAAAAAAAAAUACUGAUGAUUUUUUUUAUAUUGUACAUGUUCAGAACAAGUAAAAUACAUAAAUCCCCAUUACUCUGAUGCUGCAAUGCCCUUGGCCAUAUCAUUUAACAUAAGAAGUUAAAAUUGCAUAUUUGGAGGUAAAUUAUGAGCUAAUCGAAGGUCCUGUUGAAUUCGCAAGGACUGCGUAUAGCAGACCUGUAGGUGCAAAAAAACAUGUGGCAGGGCUAGGAGACCAUUUGGCAUGCAAUAAUGAACAGAUAUAUUGGCACGUGAAUGCUCAAAUGCCUACCGCCCUGCGACUGCGAGCAUCAGCGGGGGCGGAAUCUUGUCAGCGCUGCCUGCGCAAGCCUGUCCGAAAUAUGCACCAGCGCUCCCUGCCCUGACGACCUAUAGUGACGACAAACCAUGUAACGGUCCUGCACGUAUGUACGUAUGUACAUGUGCCUUGGCGGCGCGCAUGCAUGGGUGCUCUUUUUUCCCUCCGACGAGACAGUGUACGCACAUACUCUACUCUCUAUAGAAAGAAGAGCAGCGAAUUAGCACGGUGGUAGACCAGCGACCAAGGUCUAUUCGUAUUUACAUUUGAAUUUCAUUAAAUUUCGUAAAUAGUGAAUCUGAUUCCAUGCGUGUCCUAUUUCGCUGUCUGACCCUGCAUGAGUACGUGUGUCUGUGUGAUCGAUGAGCAUCUGCCGCUGUCAGGUGUGCCUGCUUCACUGCCUUACUGCAGCGGCCGGGUGCUGGGUGACGUACGUGCGUGAGCGAUACUAGCUGCUGGCGAUACGGGCGUGAAGGCUAGAGAACAAGAGGCAACAGCGCAAGCAAACAGGCGUCGUCAUCUCGUGCAUUGGUGAAAGCUAACCCGACCCGCGUGAAAGUAUUCGGCAGGCAACAGCAGUACUACUGGCAGGUACUAGCACGGGAGUUCACGGAUAGAUUCUCUUUCCGUGACUACGGUACGUAUCAUUCUCUGCAAUUUAUUUCUCCCAGGUGAAUGGUCGAUUCCUUGAUCUGGACGAGUACUCCCGGUCGUUUUAGUUUUUUAAUAUAUCUUUUGUAUGCAUAUCCAGAUUAAAAAUCAAUCUGUAAACUAAAGGGCCGUAGAAGACGAAGAAAUGAAGCGCCGAAGUCUUUAACAUCCGGUAUGUCAAAACGAAGCGGCCGGUCGGCGGCAGCAUGCAAGUGCCAGUGAUGCAUCGAGCAGAGCCCCCGGCCAGAACCAGAAGAGACAACACGAUGCGUACGCACGUAUUCUCCGGCAGGCCACCGUACCGGGCUACGAGCCGUGCAUGUAGCCAGAGCCCCUCUGACGAGAUCAGACGGCUGAGGGACGCGCCACGUCGGGCUCCGGUCCCCAUUUGCCUGGCUAGCUGCCCUCCGACCAGUCACGCAUCAACGACCACCGGAGAGAGGUCUGCCCCCCAAAUACGUACAGGCUGACGAGCAGGCGCUCUAGGUCGCUGCAGCCGGGGCCCACCGCGCAGUCGACCGGUGGCAGGCACUACCCCGAGAUCCUCAAUUCCUCAUCGACCGGCGAGCUGCGCGAGCACGCACUGACAUGCAUCCACGGCGGCUCUCCCAUGGAUGAUGAGGCCAUGGAGAUGGGACGUCCAAUGGACGGAUGGACGGCUGUCCAUCGACGUCGACAAGAGGUUCUUUAUUCCAGCUGAUUGUGGCUGAGCUGACCGGAGCUGAGGGUGGCGCCGCCGCCGCCGGCUUUAAUUUGGCAGCUCGGCUCGCCGCGGCGGGGAGCAUGAAGUGAUACCCUUCACAGGCGGCCGGCUUUAUUUGUUCCUUUCCUUGUGGUUGUGGGGGUGCUAAGGAUUCAAGGAUCGGCAUCGAUGAACGACGGACCAGCUGCUGCUAGCUGUUCAUGAUCGUCGAGUCCGAUCGAUCAGUCGAUGAUCCUGGUACAUCUCGCUAUGCUCAACUCCAACCAGAGACGAUAAUCAGAAGGAAUUGGAGGUAGAACAGAUGAUCGAGAGGUAGAAGAGGGAAGAAUAGGACGAACGGAAUGAGGGAAUGGUUAGCGUUCCGUUAUUUCUCAGGCCGGUCUCAACCGAACGGCAAUGUCUUAUGCUCGCUUACAAGGUUCUCAGCCCACACACGUGCUAGCACCGUACACUGCCCACGACGCACACAAACUAGCCCAGCACAUGGCCCAUGACGUUAGCCACUCUGCUUCUUCUUUCCUAAGCUCAGCAGGGACAUAACGCUGCCCCCUCCUCGAAAUUCGGGUUGCCCCCAACCUGGAGUAUUAGGGUAUCGACGCUUCAAAUCAUUGAUCUCCUCCCAGGCAGCGAGUGAAGCAGGUAAACCCGACCAAUAAUUGAGACACCGAUGAUGUUCCUUGACUCACCAGCCGGAGAUCGAGUAGAGCCACUGGAGUUACCUGAUCAGGUGGACUUGCCGGCAUUGUGGGCGGUUCUUGGCUGACUGUUGCUAAUGAUGGAAUGUACUUUAUGAGCUGAGACACAUGCACAACAUGAUGAAUUCUACGGUCUUUAGGGAGCUCCAACUUAUAAGCUACCUGACCAAUACGUUGCAGCACUUUGAAGGGCCCAUAGAACUUAAAGGACAGCUUCUGAUUAGUUUCGGAAGCCACUAUUGAAGUUUGAAUGUAUAGCUGCAGCUUGAGAUACACCAAAUCAUUAACUUGGAAUUCUCUCUGAGUUCUGUUCUUAUCCGCUUAAGAUUUCAUCCUCUGCUGUGCUCUGAGAAGUUGCUGCUGAAUGAGUUUUGUCAGCAAAUUUCUUUCUGUCAACCAAGCCUCCAAUUUAGGGACUGAGCAUGCAUUCAGAUUGGUAAUGCCAAAGUGUCUUGGGGGAUGACCAUAGAGAACCUCAAAUGGUGUGUGGCCCAAAGCUGAAUGAAAGGAUGUGUUAUACCAAUAUUCUGCCAGUGACAACCAUUUGCUCCACUAUUUUGGACAGAAAUGGACAGAGCAUCUUAAAAAUACUUCAAGACUUUGAUUUAGCCUUUCAGUCUGGCCAUCAGUCUGUGGGUGGUAUGAGGAGCUCAUCAAUAAUUGUGUGUCAGACAUUUUGAAUAACUCUUGCCACACAAUACUAGUGAAGAUUAGAUUCUAUCUCUAUCAGAAAUAAUGGCCUCUAGUAAUCCAUGUAAUUUAUAAAUGUUGCUCAUGUACAGCUGAGCUACUUGUAAGGUAGUGAAAGGGUGAGAUAAUGCCAUGAAAUGUGCAUAUUUUGUGAACUUAUCCACAAUUACCAUUAUAACAUUCAUUCUGUUGGAGGGAGGCAGUCCUUCUAUAAAAUCCAUGCUAACUACAGUCCAAGGUGUGGAAGGCACAGGAAGGAGUUGUAACAGACCUCGUGGCUUCACAUGCUCGGCUUUAGCUUGUUGACAAAUUGAGCACUCCUUAAUGUAAGCUCGAAUUGUGUCCUUCAUUUUUGGCCAUGAAAAUAAAGUUUUGAUUCUGUAAUAAGUUCCAUGAAAUCUAGAGUGACCACCAAUGCCACUGUUGUGUAGAGCUUGCAACACAUGCUGUUGAGCCAACUUGUUAUUUCCAAUCCACAUCCUGCCCUUAUACCUAAUAAUUUCAUCCACAAGAUUGUACCCUCUAGAAUCAGCGCUAGAGACAGCUAACUUAGUCAGUAGUUGUUUAGCACUUGGAUCCUCCUCGUAACCUUGCAAAAGCUUUUCAACCUAUGCUGGUGUGCAAGAGGAAAUAGCCAAUAUUGUCUCUGCUACUGGGCAUCUUGAGAGAGCAUCAGCUGCUACAUUGUUGAUACCCUUUUUGUAGACAAUCUUAAAUUGUAGAUCCAUCAAUUUCAAUAAAGCUUUGUGUUGUAAUUUGGUGUGUAUCCUUUGGUCAGUCAAAUAGAGAAGAAUCUUGUGAUCAAUUCUAAUAGUGAACUCCUUGCCUUGCAAGUAAAGUCUCCAUUUUUUCACUGCCCUGAGAAUUGCCAUGCACUCCUUUUCAUAGGUUGACAUGCCUUAGUUCCUGGGGCAUAGGGGUUUGCUUAAGUAAGCAAUAGGAUGGUCUUCUUGCAUGAGCACAGCACCCAAUCCUUGAUCACUUGCAUCUAUUUCCAGAACAAAGAGUUUGUUGAAAUUCGGUAUGGCUAGAACCGGUGCCUCCACUAAGGUUGUCUUCAACAACUGAAAUGCCUUCUCAGUUGCUGGUGUCCACAGGAAUUGAACACCUUUCUUCAAUAGAAUAGUGAGUGGUCUGCUUAUCAUGCCAUAAUGCCUAAUAAACUUUCUGUAGUAUCCUGUUAGACCCAGGAAACCCCUCAGCUCCUUAAGAUUUUUAGGUGUUGGCCACUGCUGAACUGCCACAAUUUUAGAUAGUUCUAUGAAGACUCCCUCAGCUGAAAUGCAGUGCCCCAAGUAUUUUAUCUGUUGCUUGGUAAAAGAACACUUGGACAUUUUAAUCAAAAACUGAUGUUAUUGAAUAAUAUCCAACACUUGUUUUAGCAAUUUCACAUGUUCACCCAAGGUUGCCGAGUAGAUCAAAAUAUCAUCCAUGAAAACCAACACUCCAACAGUAGCUCAAAAAUUUGGUUCAUUGUAUUCUGAAAUGUUACUGGUGCAUUUGUAAGGUCAAAAGGCAUGACCAAGAACUCAUAAAGGCCACUGUGAGUUCUAAAAGCAGUCUUGUGCUCGUCACCUUUGACAAUUCUAAUUUGGUGGUAUCCAGACCUGAAGUAUAACUUGGAAAACCAUUGAGAUCCAGCCAUCCAAAAGCUCGUCUACUACUGAAAGUGGAUGCUUAUUCUUGAUAGAAAUUGAGUUAAGGUGUCUAUAAUCAACACAAAAUUACCAUGUACCAUCCUUUUUUAUUACUAACAACACAAGAGAUCUAUAAGGGCUAGUUCUUGACCUAAUAGUUCCAUUCCUCAACAUUUCAGUUAGUUGUUUCUCAAUUUCAGACUUUUGUGCAGGUGCAUACCUGUAAUGUCUGACAUUGACUGGCUGGGCUCCAGGGAUUAAGUCAAUAUGAUGAUCAUAUUGUCUUUCAGGAGGUAACGUGGUUGACUCUUUGAAUAGAUGCUUGUACUCAGUUAACAGCUGUUGUAUUUCAGGCUGAACUGCAGCUUGUUCAGGUUUUGUGACUGAAUGGACCAACCCUACUUCCUCUUUCAACUGGGACUUGGAAACCUGAGGAAACAUCUGCACACAAUGGGCGACAGCUUGCCUUCUUAAGAGGCCCUUGAAUUUUCUAGCACUGAUGGCAUUACAUUUUGUCACCUCAGGUUGAACCCCUUUCAGAGUGAUUCUCUUGCCUUUAUAAGUGAAUCUUAUGAUUUUCUUCUUCUAAUGCACCCACAUGGGACUGCAUUCUUCUAACUAAUCCUCUCCAACUAUCAUGUCAUAGCACUUAAGAGGUAAAAUACCAACAUCUGAUGAGAAUAUGUGUUUUUGAGAGACCCACUAUAAAUUAAGAAUUCUCUAGUGCAAGUCAUUGGGCUACCAUCAGCUGCCACAAAAUAAGCUGCUUCACAUUCUUGUGUUGUAUACUUCAAUUGGUUAGCCAAGUUCUCAGUAAUGAAAGACCCCACACUGCCUGAAUCUACAAGGAUCAGCGCCUCCUGAGUGCCUAUUAUGCCUUGCAACUUCAUAGUUCUCUUGAAAGUAACUUGAGAUUUACUGUCUCCAAUUGCCAUGACAACAUCAUUCUUCUGUUCAUCAUCACUUGGACAAGAGUCACAAUCUUUAGUAUGCUUCAGAGUAUCCAAUAAUUCUUCAAUCACGUUUAGAGAUACUUGUGAAGGGCACUUAUGGUUGUGGCCCCAUUUUCUCUCCACCCUUGUAAUAGAGCCCAUUCUUCUUUCUAAAUGCCAUCAGAGAUUUGACCUUUUCAUCAGAGUCACCUUUGUCAGCUUUGGAUUUGCUUGGCGCAGCUUUCUCAGAUCCCCCAAUCUUGUUUUUGUCAGGCACAAAGGAUGGCUUGUAAUUGGAUUUGUGGAAAUCCCUUGCCAUUGCUUUGCCUUGGCUUGCAGCAAUUUCUUCCUCUUGCAACAAGGCUAGGGAAGACGCUACCAACACAUCUUUUGGUUUGUGUAGGGCAAUCGCUGCUCUUAUUUCUUCUUUGAGGCGACCUAGAAAUCAGGUGACAAAAUAUGUGCCGUCAUACGCAGUGUUGUACAACAGAAUGCCAUGUGAUAGUUCCUCAAACUUCUCCAGGUACUUUGAAACAGAACCAGUCUGACGAAGGGCAUCAAGAUGACGAAGCUGCACCUAGUACUAGUCUCUGUCAUACCUGUCUAGAAUAGUAGCACAGAAUGUAUCCCAGUCCAGCACUCUGCCCCUGCGCUCAAAGGUUUGAAGCCAUGCCGCAGCAGUACCCUUGAGAUUGAAUGCCGUGAACCUUGUCUUCAGGGUUGGACUCACCGAAUACACCUCGAAAUACAUUUCACAGCGAUCAUGCCAUAGCCUCGGAUUAUCACCAUCAAAAUGGAAAAACUCGAGUUUGGGCAAGGGGGUUUGUCUGUCCCAAACUCUCGAUUCCUGGUAUGCGUGUCAAAUUGAAGGUGAGCUAGGUCAAGGAACGUACUCGUGACUGGGCGUGGCGGGUGAGAUCCAACGAUCCCACCGCUAGCAUCCUGUGGUGGAGCUAUGUUGAGGUUGAAAGGGUUGACCCAGCUUGGUGGCGGUGGAGGCGGAUGCCGUGGAAUCGGCAGUGGCGUCGACUCAAGUCGAUGUAGGCGAGUCGCCGCUUCCUUCGUCUUGUUCAGCAUGUUCCCAAGGUUUAUCCGCCAUGGAUUGCCAAGCCUCUAGACCGCUAAUCUUGUCCAAAGACUUCUGCAUCAUCAACUCAAAUCCCUCGAACUUCCUCGUGAGAUCCUCAAGAGUGGUCGCCAUUUGCGUCUGGACAUUCGUGGGCUUCCGGGGCGGCGCUAGGUCUCGCAAACUGGAUUUCGCGAAAUUUUUUUGUGGAAUUUGUGGUGGACUAGACCUGGGGGGGGGGGGGCAGGCCGUGCGACCGCCCGGGGCCCAUGAAGUCGGAGGGCCAUGACCAUAUAGAUACUUAGUACAUAUAAUUAUAUUGAUGAAUUUGUUUUAGUCUUUCUAAAUGACCCGCAUAACAAUUGGAGCCUGACUUCCCAAAUUACUCACUUGGCCCGCAUAGUAAUUACUUGCUAGGCCCGCUUAGUGAUCAGAGGCUUAGAGCAAACUGCCAGGCCAAGCUGCCAGGCCUGCCAAAUUGGUGAACGGAGGAUCAGACUCAGACUCCAACGUGGAGGAUCAGGCCUGCCUGUCUAGUCGUGAAUCAUACGUAUACCUGGUCCUGGUCGUAUACGCGCUCGCCGCCGCCGAUCCAAUCAUCGAUUCGUCGCCUCAUCGCCCGUCGGCUCCUGCUCGUUGCCUCGUUGACGGCAGGCAUACCGUAUAUGACCAGGAGUAAGCGAAAGCGAUCCAAUCCUGGUUGCGCCAAUCAUCGACGUCAGGUCUCAGGUUGCGCCGUUGCAAUCGAAGGUGUAGCUUUAAUUGGGGUACGUGACUUUAGCUGAUACGUUUUCAUUGAUUCACUUAGGAUGAACAGGCAAUUGAUGCGAUAUUCGUAUCUAGCUUCUUGGUUUUUGUAAACGAGGGCAGCAGUUGGUUAAUUACCAGCGUAAGCUACCCUGCAUUACCGAGCGCCGCAUCUUGGAUUCUUGGAGUGUGUCAGAGGCGAGCGCUUCUAUCUUUAUUUUCUUUUACGUCAAUUUCGUGAAAAAGCAAUCAUCUAAUUAAUAUUAUUUCUUCGUGUAGUAAUUCCAUCAUUCGUCAAUUGCGUAGAAGGAGCAGCCCGCAGACAACGUUUCGUACUUUCGUUUGACCGUCACCGUAAGCAACACGCCAAUUGAUUAGUAUUUCAAUUUUUUUUCUUAUUUGUUUUUUGUAUGCGCUAUGCUUAUACUGAUUGUGGUAGGAUUAAAAUUUCUAAUUCAAUGUAUUUAUUUGAAUAUGAUAGAUGUUGCCUAAGAAGCAUUUGUCGGGUGCUCAGAAAAGAAAAAAAAGAAAAUAAGAAGAUCAGUUCGUAGAAUCGCAGAGAUGUGCUCUACAUAAGCCCUUGUUUACUUCACCCCCAACUCCCAACUUUGGCACUAUGCAAAAAGAAGAUUCCCCAUCACAUCAAACUUGCGGUACAUGCAUGGAGUACUAAAUGUAGACGAAAUCAAAAACUAAUUGCACAGUUUUGUUGUACUUUGCGAGAUGAAUCUUUUAAGCCUAAUUAGUCAAUAUUUAGACAAUAAUUCAUAAAUACAAACGAAACGCUACAGUGUCGCAUUUAUGGCAGAAUGCCAAUUUUGCCACUCCCAAAUUGGCAAGUAAACAAGGCCUAAGUUUUUUUCAGUUACAAAUAAUGGUGAGAUCAGUGAAGAUCAGGGGCAGGAACAAGUUGCAGAAGUUGAUGCUAAUGAAGGUGCUACAGUAGGGCAUAAUUUAAAUGUUGAAGCUGAUGCCAAUGAUCAUACUCAGGCUCUGGGAGGUGAUACCUUACAACCUUCAGAUGAUACUGAAACUGCAAAUAUUGAUGAACAAGAAGAUUCAGUUUUGACUAUUUUUGAUCCUAGAACAUGGGAAAAUCUUGACAAUAGCAAAAAAGAUAUCUUAAUUGAGAAAGGACCUGUGAGAGAAAUGAAUCUACAAUUCCCUUGUGAUCCUAGUGGUAGACAUUUUUCUUAUGCUUACUAUUUCAGGAAAUUAUCUAAUGGUGAGUUUGUUGACAGAAAGUGGUUAGUUUAUUCUAAGCAUGUGGAUAAGGUUUAUUAUUUUUGCUGCAAGUUGUUCAAAUCAAAUCAGAACAAGUCAUUGUUAGCAUCUGAUGGAAUGAGAGAUUGGAAGCAUCUUAGUGAGAAACUGAAAACACAUGAGAACAGUGUGGAGCAUUUGUCAAACAUGAGUACAUGGAAUGAGGUUCGGCUUAGAUUAAGCAAAAAUGAAACAAUUGAUGAUGAAAUGCAACGGGAAAUUACAAAGGAAAAGGAGCGUUGGAGAUAGGUCCUGGUAAGAAUAGUUUCUGUUGUGAAGUUUCUUGCUAAACAAAAUCUAGCCUUUCGAGGAUCAAAUGAGAAAGUUUAUGAACGUAACAAUGGUAAUUUUCUAGCCACAGUUGAAAUGAUUGAUGAAUUUGAUCUUGUAAUGCAAGAACAUAUUAGGCGCAUUCAAAGUAAUGAAAUUCAUCAUCAUUAUCUUGGCCAUAAUAUUCAGAAUGAGUUAAUUUCUAUUCUUGCUGAUGCUGUGAAAAAUCAUAUCUUAAAGAUUAUCAAAGAUGCCAAGUAUUUCUCUGUUAUCUUGGAUUGUACCCCAGAUGUGAGCCAUGAAGAACAAAUAACAUUAAUUGUGCGUUGUGUUAAUAUGUCAAGUACCAUUCCAAGAGUAGAGGAAUUUUUCUUGGAGUUCUUACAGGUUCAUGACACAUCUGGUUUGGGGCUUUUUAAUGUUUUGUUGGAUGCACUUCGGUCUAUUGAUUUGAACGUUGAUAAUGUGAGAGGUCAAGGUUAUGAUAGUGGUUCAAAUAUGAAGGGAGAACAUCAAGGUGUGAAGACACGUUUGCUUGAAAUUAAUCCAAGAGCAUUAUAUAUGCCGUGUGCAUCUCAUAGUCUGAAUCUCACUCUUUGUGAUAUGGCAAAAGCUUCCAAGACAGCUAUUUCAUUCUUCGGUGUUAUACAACGGAUAUAUUGUUUGUUUGCACGCUCUACUAAAAGGUGGAAAAUUUUGACUGAUAAUGUUGAGAGGUUUACUGUCAAACCCUUAUCUAAUACUCAUUGGGAGAGUCGAAUAAAGAGUGUUCAACCUAUCAGGUAUCAAGCCCCACAAAUAAUAUCAGCAUUGAAGGAAGUGGAAAGAACUGCUACUGAUGAUCCAAAAACAGUAAGUGAUGCUCAAUGAUUAGUAACUGUACUUGAGAAAUUUGAAUUUAUAGUUGGUAUGAUUAUCUGGGAUGAUAUUUUAUCUACUAUCAAUAUUGUGAGCAAAAAGUUACAAUCUAAGAUUGUAUGCUUAGAUGCUACUCUCAAACAAAUUGAGGGGCUCAUCUCAUAUUUUCAGAAGUACAGAGAAGAAGGCUUCAAUGCUAGUAUUGAGACUGCAAAAUCUAUUGCAUCUAGUAUGGACAUAGAGCCAAAAUUUCCUACAAAACAUCAAGGUAAAAGAAAGAAGCAUUUUGAUGAACAAAAUGAUGAAACUGAAGAAUUACAACUUUCAGCUAUAGAUGAGUUCAAAGUUAAUUACUUCCUAGUUAUUGUGGAUGCUGCUAUUUCUUCAUUGACUAGUCGAUUUGAACAGCUAAAGAAAUUUGAAGAAAUAUUUGGUUUCUUAUUCAACUCAGAAAAUCUGAAGUCCUUGGAUGAUAAUGAUCUACGAAAGUGCUGCACUACUUUUGCAAAAUCUUUUUCUCAUGAUAACAAGUCUGAUGUUGACUUGGAUGAUUUUUUCUCUAAAUUAAAAGUGUUGCAAGUAUCUGUGCCAGAGCAACUGAUGUCAGCAUCCGAGAUUCUGCAAUUUGUUAAAGUUGCAGAUUGCUACCCGAAUGUCUCCAUUGCAUAUCGAAUUCUCUUAACUAUUCCAGUGACAGUAGCAUUAGCCGAAAGAAGUUUCUCCAAAUUGAAACUAUUGAGAAAUUAUUUGAGAUCAACUAUGUCACAAGAAAGAUUGAAUGGCUUGGCUAUAUGCAGCAUUGAGAAGGAUAUUUUGGACGGCAUUAAUCUUGAUACCAUUCUUGAAGAUUUUGUAUCAAGAAAUGCUCGAAGAUGGUUUUUUACAAAGAACUGGAGCAUUAUAUUUUUAUUUGAGGUAAUCAUAAUGGUUAUUAUUUUUAGUUUUUUGUUGCACUAUUGUUAUGUUUUAUGAGCUAUAUAUAUUGCAAAGUAGUUUUAUUAUUUGUACCGUAUACUUAAGUUUUCAUAUUAAAAAGUAGUUCAACGGGCCCUUAUCUUCGUCCUUGCUCACGGGCCCUUCAAAUUAUAGCUUAUCUUCGUCCUUGCUCACGGGCCCUUCAAAUUAUAGAGCUGGCCCUGUCUUAUACUCGCUUACCAGGCUCUCGGCUCGCACACCUGCUUGCACCAUACACGGCCCACGGCGCAUACAAACCAGCCCAGCACAUGGCCCAUGACGCUAACCACUAUGCUUCUUCCUUGAGCUCAGCAGGGUCAUAACAGAUCCAUCCAGCGUACGUAUUGCCUGAUCGAUCUGGCCGAUCGAUGCCGUGUCUUCGCUUUGCCCGAGAUCAUCGUACGUUGCUGCAGGGUAAGGUCGCCAUCCUUCUGCAAACAGACUGCGUGUCUUCUUUCUGUUCAUUCAGGAACCUCUGCGCUUCAGACAAAUGUAGUUCCAGUUCAUGGCCUCGGCCACUACUUUUGUGCGCUGGGGGUUCAGAGCAUACCUGGGCUAGCGUGGGCUCCAAGCCUAGCAAAGCAUAAGCCCGGCCCAGAGGAUGAAUGACCCAAAGUACCUUUUCUUUUCUUUUAGUUCUUUGUUUGCGUGGUUCUUUUCUUUUAGUUAGCGCCAUUGGAUAUGUCAUAUUUCUUUUACAAGCACAAUACUCUGUAUUUGUUAAAUCCGGUUCUGCGUGAGAGUAUUUAAUUUCAUCAAUUCUUAUUUUAACGGAAUUCGAGCUUGCCCGCUCUGAAAAAUGUGCAACCACAUGGUCUGCCAUUCCUUCUCAGCUACGCGUGGAGUAUACCGUAUAUUGGGUAGUAACCGGUCGUAUAUCGGUACACUUCAUACGAUGAUACGAGCACUGGCGGAGCCAAGCCCGGCCACCCUGGGCAUCUGCCCGGGCUCAUCACCUGCCAGGGCUCAUCACCUGUCCAAACCAUUAGCUAAUUUAGUGUUCCACUGUUGGUUAGCACUAGUUGUAUACCCGGAGAGUGGAGACGCCCAGACUCAUCGAAGUCGCUGGCUCCGCCACUGGAUACGAGGUUCAUAGAUAUUAUUAUAUAUCUAGACUGCACUAUAUCUUUAUACAUAAUAAUAUACAUGCACCUAUAUCUAUAUGCAUAAUAAUAUAUAUGUACCUAGCUAAAACGAUCUAAUACUCCCUCCGUCCCAAAUUGUAGAUUGUUUUAACAUUUCUAGAUUCAUAGAUUUUGUUAUGCAUGUAGGUAUAUAUUAUGUCUAGGUUUAUAGCAAACAUUAUGAAUCUAGAAAAUACCAAAAUGAAAUACGAUAUUUCGGAAACGGAGGAAGCAGGAAAAAAGGUGCCGUAGCACGAGUACAAGUAUAGAUACUUUGUGGACCCUGGAUAGAAGCACAACAAACUCUACUUGCUCACUACUCCAAGCAAAUCGCUAAGAGACACACACACACGUGGUGACGCGGCACAUGAGGCUGCGGACUCCCGGUCACCCGCUACCCCAUGCAAUGCAAAUGCAUUCCUCCGACGAUCCACAUCCAGGACGAAACAUGCAGCAUCAUCUACCGACAACAAUCAUUAUUACCUUUUUUUCCGAAGGGGCUGGAUCCCAUAUAUUAAAAGAGCCGGGCUCUUACAGCAAACACCCUGGAGGAAAGAAGAUUUACAAACAAGUCCACAUCAUCCAUCCUCCAGAAACGAAACUUUGCGUACAAGACCCUGACAGAAAUCAGAUUUGAAAUUGAGGUCCUUAGAUCUUGACGCAGAACUCCUGCACAUCGCACCGCUUCUGGUUCCGCCGGAGUCGGAGAAGAGGUACGACAGCAAAGAGAAGAACUCCACCGAGACCGUCGAUGAGACCUCCAGCUUGAAGCCGCAAGACAUUCCCCCUCCGGCGCACAUCGGCUGUCAUCGUGUUGAUCUUGAUCUUGGACCGGCGGCACCGAUGAAAUCGGCGACCCAGAAAAGAUCCGAACUGCUAGCACCAGCAGUCCGGAAAGGAGCCCCAAGAAAGGGAAAACCAGUCCCCCUUAUCCAAGACAAAGGAGAACACAAGUAACCUCACAGGAUGAACCACGAAGAACACCUCGUCGGAAUCGCCAUGGAGGACCAAAAUCUUCACUCGGCCACCGGGGAUCCUACCGCCGGAGACGAAGCUAAGGAAACCGAAGCACCACGCAGCUGCCUCGCCGAAGCCGAUGCCGGAUCCACCGCCAUCACCAUCGAAGAAUAGAUGGAUGCACUUUAUUUGCCGGAACAGUGGCAGCACCACCACCGGAACCCUAAGCUCCCUCGCCAACGACGGCGAUGAGCAACCCUAGCCUACUAGACUAUACACCCUAGCAGCUAAAACUACUCCAGCCGUCGAUCCGCCAUUUCCCCCAUCCGCUCCGGCGUCGGAAAGGCCGUCGGAGGGAGGGGAACGGCCAGAUCGACGCCGGAAAUGGCACCGCCCUUUUCGCCUGCUCUUUACUGUAGAAGGGGAAAAGAGAACAAUCAUUAUUACUUAUGUCUUAUAAAUCCAAUUUUGGAUCAUAUACGUGCGUACAAGAUACAAAAUUUUGGAUCAAAACGAUUCUACGUCAAGCUCUUUUCCCUUCAAAAACCUUCACUGAAUUCUUCAGACCAAUGAUGUCGAAAAGCAGGUCGUACCGGACAGAAAAUCACUAAAAAAACGAUUUGCACAGAGACCUCCCAUUUUUUUAACAGGUGAGAUUGUCACCGCACCUACAAAACAGGAACAUAGCCACAGAUGUGCUAAUGUAGCAUCUGAGCCGCCCCUGAGAAGCAUUUGCAUGGAUGGCCCCCCCGGGACGACCCGCCCCUUGAAAAUAUUAUUAUUAUUAUACGUUCCUAGUUUUGAAAUCUACAAUUUUUGAAUUUUUCAAAUGGCUUCGGAUAUAGAUAAGAAGCUCUAUACGAAAGUGGUAACUCUCAGUGAGAUCUAAAUUUAUAAAUAAAUAAGUAUAUGCAUGAGUAUACGAGUAUAUGUAUAUGUGGUCAUAAACAUAUAAGUUUUUCAUUUGAUGAUAAGGAUUGGAAGAAUUAAGUUUAAAGGAUGUACUUUUUGAAUACAAACUUUUUUAUACGAUUUCAGAUGAACACAAACUUUAUGUCAAAGUUGUAGACUUAGAUCAGAUCUAAAACUUUGUAGUUAACAACUUUUUCAUUUGAAAUUGUUUAGUAGUUCAAAAAGUCAUUCUGAGCUCUCUAAAUUUGAAAUCUUGAAUUUUAAAUUUUUUCAAAUAAAGCUCUAUAACAAAGUGGCGGAGCUCGACGAGAUCUAAAAUUAUAGUUGCUAAGUUUUUCAUUUGAGAUUAUUUAGUGCUUACAAACAUACAAAGUUUUUCAUUUGACGCUAAGGAUCAGAAAGAUUAAGUUUAAAUAUUGUAUUUUUUGAAUAUAAAUUUUUCCAUACGAUCUCGAAUGAAUACAAACUUUAUAUCAAAUUUGUACAGCUCGAUGAGAUUCGAAACUUUGUAGCUGACAACUUCUUCGUUCGAGAUCGUUUAGUUGUCUAAAAAUAUGUUGUAAGUUCAGAGAAGAAACACAUUUGCCAUGUCAUCGAUCCACCGCUCUGAAACGGAGAGUUGCUAUUGGCCGAACUCUCCUCCCACCCUUCCUUCUCAACCAAUCAACCUUAUCUCCUCCCUCUCUCUCUUCUCUCCCUCCUUUCCUCUUUCCUAGCCCUACCUCCUCCCUCUCACAUCUCUCCUCUCUACUGGUAGCCUCUCCGGUGCGCCCUCGGGGAGGCCCUAGCGCGGGCGGUGGAGGCGGCCAGCGUGGCACACGGAAGCCGGCACAACCCCCCAGCACUGGCCCCGGCGUCCCUGCGAAGGACCUAGCCCCGGCGGCGGAGGUGGCAGGCACGGCGAGCGGAGUCCGGCACAGACACCUUGACCCCGGUCCCUGCAGCGGAGGCAGUUGGCGCGGUGCGUGGAGGUUGGCACGGCCACCUCGACCCCAGGCCCGGUGGUGGAGGCAGCCUACGUGACUGGCCACUGCCACCUCGGCUCCAGCCACAAGUUAUGCCAAUUUAACAAUUAACUUAGAAACACAAUGUACAUAAGAAAACUGGUUUAAAUAAGUAUUAGUCAAAUUGAUAUUUAACUUUGAUGUUAAAAAUAAGCAACAUGUAAAAACACUGCUGACGCAUAAGUUAAGGUGAAACGAACAAGAAUAGCAAAAACAGACUCUAGAGCGCAGAAGAAAAGCUUAAAUUAUGGCUUAGGAAAAACUAGUCUACAAAGAGAAUAAUUAGGCUGCAGGGACAACAAACUAGUCAAAGCUAAACUGAGCUGGUAUGCAAGGAAACAGACUAACAAGAUUGGUUCUAAAGAGAUAGCUGCCAAAGGUUUGGCCACAAAGAACUAAAAGAACGUACCUGACUCACAAAGAGACAACUAAGAUAGGACAGCUAUAAGCUAGAUAUAUAGGAUUCUAAGUGGAAUAGGAAACAAACAUGAUAAGACUACUAGACAGGGAAAAUGAGCAGUACAAAACUACUCACACAGACACAGAUCUACUAGGCAGAACAGAAACUCUAAGACAAACUAUCUGUCUCACUAAAGCACACAAACGUGCUUGAUAAGGAAAGGCUUGGUUAGCUUUAUGAAAGGAACAUGGUCUGAGCUUGAACUAGGAUUGGAAAGAUCUAAAACUUUACAGAAGAUUAGAUCUACAAAAGAGAUGCUGAGCUAAAGCUGACAAAGGACAGCUAUCGACCGAUUUGCAUUUAUGAGCACAAAAGACUAUACGCUAGGUUUAUUUUAAUUAGAAAAAUAUAUGUAAAGGAUAUUUCAGAAAGAAAAAUACCCUAAAUUGGAAUUAAUGCAAAUUACACUUUAUUUGCAAAAAUCGAGGUAAAAACCUAGGAAAGUUUUAUUCAUAAAUGUUCAUGAAUAAAUUACACCAAUUACACACUUAACUUUAGAAAGGUGAAACAGCUAAUUGAAUUAAAACAUAUGUCGUGUUGCUCUAAACAAACUUUAUUUAGAAAACACAUUCAUAUUGACAUAAGUCAUUUUAUCAAUAAUUAAGAAAAACCGAGCUAUAGCCUAAGCAUAUUUUAAUUAUAAAUAUUGAAGUAUAAAUUAUACCAUUUAAAUAUUUAACUUUAGAAAGGAUAAACUAUAUGAAACAUCUAAACAUAUACUUUAGGAUUAAAGAGGAUCAAAUUUUUAUUGAAAAUAUAUUCAUGUUGGUAUUAAUCAGUUAAUAUUUAUUUAUAAAAGCCACUGUAAAAGCCUAAUCGCUUUUAUUUAGAAAAAUUGAUUCAAAUUAAACAUUAAUCAAAUUAACGUUUAUUAUGAAAAGCGGUGUAUAACAUUAAGUAGCAUUUAAUUAAAGAAGACAUGUUUAUCUGGUAUUAAUCAAAUUAGAUUUGAAUUUAUUUUCAAAAACAUGCAUGAUGGAAAUCAUCACCUCUGACGUGUAGUUUGUGUUAUCAUGAACCUAGCUCAAUUUGAACGGAUCGAAUCAGAGCUAAAAGAAAGGGUUUGUGGAAAAACAAGGUCCUAGGGACUGAGAUGCGAUUAAGUGUAGAUAACAGGGACUCACUCAUGAAACACUUUAAAUGCAUCAGCAUGAAUGCAGCACAUGCAGAACAACCUUAUUUAAUUCAGAAAAACAAAAUUAUUUUCCUAUACUAAAUUUUCUAUCAAGAAAAUAAAUGUUGGGAAAAAUUUCAAAAAUAUGAGAAAAUUUUGCUUUACUUUUCUUUUUAAUCACAUCUUGAAAUUCAAAACUUUCAGGGUGUGACACAAGAUGAGGAGUUUAAGCUUUAUUAUGCAUGGAGAUAGCUUGAAAAGAAUUGAAAUGCAUGAUAUCAAUGUAAACAAAAAUACCAAGUGAGCAUUUAAGCACCAUUUGAAGGAUAAUGCUUGCAUAUCUCUGGGGAUUGAUUUCUUUCAAUAUGAGACUACACACAUGAUAAGCUUGCAAGCAAUGUUAGUCUCAAAAUCAAUAACCAUAAGAUAUCUCCCCCUAAAUUUGUGCAUACAAGUAUUUGAAUUACUUGUGAGAGACAUGCACUAGUCAAUACGUUGGAAAGUAAUCCUAUGAUUUGGACUUGGCACAUAAGAUAUGAAAUAAGCACUAGUACCAUCUUCCUACAACUAACACUACUAGAAAUAUGAGCAUUCGCCCUUUACGUACUAAAGUCGUCUGGUGCUAACGCGCAAAAUUAGUACCGGGUAGAAAAUUUCGAUCCUCGGAGGCCUUUUAGUACCGGGCAAUAACACUGACCGAUAGAUAGUAAAUGGUGACAUUUAGUACCGGUCAGUGUUAUUGCCCAGUACUAAAUGCCUCUCCACGGGUUACUUCAAAAGGAAAGUAUAUCUAACUCAAUCACAUGUGGUGAGAUAGUAAGGAAGGUUCACAUGAGGCUUGAGGUCGCGAGUUCGAAUCCCACGGACCGCACACGCACAUAUUACGUGUGCGGGGACCUCCCGGUUGUUUGUCAAUUUUUUUCUUUAUUUUUUGGAUGCAAAUCCGUUUAGUACCGGUCGGUGUACUAAAGGUCGAUUCUCCAGUAAUAAAUUAUGUAGAUUGCUCAUGGGUUAGAAAGAAACAUAAGCAACCUAUCAUACGAAGGGAAUGAAUUUUGAUUUACGACGAUGCCUCGAAGUUCCACAUAGUCUUAAAAGAAACACUAUCGCCAGUCAUGAAUACAUGACGUUCUGGACAUAAAGUAGUAUCCAUGCCCUCUGCCGCGCGCAUCGCGGAUAAGCUUUUCAAUUUGGUUUUUGGCCUUGUGCUUGUGGAGGCUUUCCCUCCCGUGGACCGUCUCCUUUGCUGAUCCCUUUGCGUGUAGCCAUGGAUAAAUCAUGCGACCAAAGUGCUGCGCGUGCUGUGCAACCGUGGCCUUUUGCUGCGUGUCAUUCUGCCUCUCUUUGUGCUCUGUCCCCUGGCCUGAUCCAGUAUGAUUCACCCGAGUGCGGGCUUGGCUUUCAACACCACCAGGGUAAAAAGAGGCACACCCCUGUCCCCCUGUAUUUUUACUUUCUUGAGAAGGUAAAAGGUGUAGUGUCUUUCCUGUACGUACACGUAGCUUUAAUUUUCAGACAGAUUCAUAGUGUUUUCGUGCUGUAAAAAAUCAGAUUCAGACACUCAAGUAGUGUGUUUACUCUGACUAGCUAGUUUCACGAUGAAUAUACUCAGUUUGUUUUACUCAACGAAAAAAUGUGUGGAUUUCUGUCUCAAUGGAAGGCCUCUUACUUCUUACUCCCUCCGUUCCAAACUACUAUUCAUUUUAGCUUUUCUAGGUACAUAACUUUUGCUACGUAUCUAGACAUACAUAUAUCUAGGUCUAUAGCAAAGACUAUGUAUCUAGAAAAUCCAAAACGAACAAUAUUUUGGGACAAUACACUAUUGGAAAAUGGGACUUUAGUCCCGGUUGGAUAGAGCCAUAGAUCCCGAAAAUCCAACUGGAACUAACUAUUCGAGACAAAAGGGGGUGUCCUUUAUUCCUAGGUCAUCCACCUGGGACUAAAGACCCCCUUUAGUCCCGGUUGGUAUUACCAACCGGGACUAAAAAAGUUUCCAAAAAAAUAAAAGAAGGCCACCCGCGCCGGCCGGCCGUCCGUGCCCGCCCGCAUCCGCCCGCCGUCACCGCCACCUGCCUCUAUCCACCUUCGCCUCCCGCCGGCCACCCGCCGCCGCACGCCCUCGCCCGCCUCCGCCCCGCCGCCUCCGCCCGCGCCUGCCUGUGCCGGCCGCCACUCGCCGAUCACCCACCCGCCUACACCCGUCGCUGCUCGACCGCCCACUGCCCGGCCGCGCCAUUGCCCUACCCUCGCUCCGUGGCCGCUCCUCACUGCCAGUGAGGGGCGAGCAGAGGGGGAAGGGGAGGGGCAGCAGAGAGGGAGGGGGCGGCGGCAGUGGGAGGGGAGGGGGCGGCAACAACGUAGAGAGGGAGGAGAGGAUGAGGAGAGGGAGGCGCCGGUGGAGAGGAUGAGGAGAGGGAGGAGAGGAAGAAGAUAAGGUGGAGAGGAGGAGAGCGCUACCUGGAAGAAGAUAAGGAAGGUGGAGAGAGAGGGGGGGGGGGGCGUGGAAAGCAUCCGUAGUCCCCCUUUAUCUUGGUUGGUAAUUAAAUCUUUUGUCCCAGUUGGAAUUACCAAUUGAGACAAAAGGGGGGGCGUUGGUGCCAUAUUUUUUAGCCGUUACAACCGGAACUAAAGGGGGACUUUAGUCCCGAUUGGUCUUUACAACUGGGACUAAAGCCCCCCCCCUCAGUGACCUUCAGUGCCUCAUUUUUAACCCAGGACUAAAGGCACUUUAGUCCCGGGUCCAAAGUCAACUGGAACAAAAACACCUGGAUGUCUAGUUGUGGUAAUUUGGGACGGAGGGAUCGAGUGGAUUUAUCCAUGCCAUUUUUUUGGGAAAUCUAAUAAAAGAAAUAGACCUUUAUUAAAGAUCGUUCAUGAAAACAAUUGGUUCUUUAAUUUUCAAGCCUUGCUUUAGCUUGCUGUAGGGAUUUGCGAGCAAGGGAUAGCUCCACGCACCUAUUAAGUGAUACAAAUAUUUAUAAAAAACAUAGAUUUGAACAGCAAAUUACACUUUAAAGACACAAUAUUUUCUGAGCCCAUCAUGACGUAAGCUUUUAUAGGUCCACCGCCCACGUUGCCUUCAGUGGAUUUGGACAGUUGCCUCUGAAUUAACUCCCUAGGCUCUCGUCUCCGUGGGGCAAAUUGCUCCACAUUAUACUCGCAUUGGCAUUGGCUUCGUAGAAGAAAUUUAGAUCCCGCAUUGGCAUUCUUCUUCACCCACCACAGUCAGGGCCUAGGUGUUUGUGAUCAUCCAUGUUCUGGGACAAAUUUGCUUGCGCUCGAGUACGUUCUUAAUAAUAUUCUUUAUAGAAAAGGCGAUUGCAAAUUUGACAAAAUGAUACCUAGCGGGGUACACAGCUUGAGGCAUACUAAGCAACCUACAUUUUAGGAUCUACUAGAAGGGCACAUCGAUGCUUAACUUUGUUUACUUUUGCAUGAAUCGAGCACCAGACACAGCUGAUUGACAACCAAUCUGCUCCCCAAUUGCAAGGGCUCUAAGUGGUCCAAGCUGAUAGCUUCUUGAUAUAAUAUAAUAUUGCAUCUAAGAUAAAGGGUUUAAACACAUACUACACAGCUUUGCAUACAAAGUUGUUCUUAGCUACAAGCAGUAGACCUACAAAUUGGUUUCAUCACUCUAUGUGAAUAGAAGGAUAACAAUUGAUGUCAAAUCUGACCACAUAAAAGCUUUCGAAGGACAAAGACUAGUGAGACGUUAGUACAUUAUAUUUAGUAGUAGAUCUUUUGUACUUUUUUAUCUAAAAAGUAUCUUCUGUACUUUUACUUGGCACAUCCCCAAUUUGUUGAUCUAAUCGGAUUGAGGUUGUGCACGAAAAGGGAGCUGCUACCUUUGGUAUGAAAAGGUCAAGCUAUAGUUAAUAAGCAUAUCCGCAAUGUCCAAAGAUGCCUGGUCACUUAUUUCUCAUGUGCCAAUCAGGUCACUUAGUCAAGGAACAAGCUUACAAGCCUAUUUUCACACUCUUACUAUCACGGAAGCCUGAUUUAAUUCUCUUACAUUUUCUAAGGGAAAAAAGUUCUCCCGGCGAUGUGUUAAUCAUAUAGGUUACUUUUUAUAUUUUUAAAAAGAAUACUUCUCGGUUGAAUCCAUUUUCUAUUCUUUUCAUAUAACUUUUUUAUGGCAUUCUUGCUAUUUUUCCAACUAUUUUUCAAGUAAAUGCAACCUUGUUAUUUUAAAAAGAUGAAUUAUCCCUCUUAGAUGUUGCUAAAUUUUAAACCCUAUGUUACUAAAAAAAAA
This 25102-nucleotide long non-coding RNA is filed under the name Setaria viridis. RNAcentral describes it as "long non-coding RNA (SVIR_LNC009627)". Lineage: Eukaryota; Viridiplantae; Streptophyta; Magnoliopsida; Poales; Poaceae. The record is from RNAcentral.